UCUUUGUUAUUUUCUUGCCAUUCGAUUCCGGUGUCGUUGAUACUCCAUUACAGAGGUUAAUUUUCGUUCAAAUUCAUUGCUUACCUUCAUUGUUGAGAUGUAAUAUGGUACCAGGGGGAUCAAGCCUCUAGGGUUGGGAUCCCUUAUGUUGCUUUGAGCCUUCGAAUCGUGUUGAAUUACGCGUUUAGGUUUCUGCCUGGUACUCUCCAGUUUAGAUGAUUGAGUUGGAUUUGGGAGCAAUUGACUUAGGGCUUUGAUAGAGUGUGGUGAGACGGUUCAUGUGAUGGUUGAGAUUUGGAUUUAUGGUGGCCACCGCCGCCGGAGGAGAUUCCCAGCGUGGUGGCCCGCGGUGGUCUUAUGUUGGACUUCCCUAAGAUGGUGAAUUGGAGAGUGACACGUAUUUUUGUUCAAAUUCAAGUUUAAUCCCACGCGUUUUUUUAGCCACAUGAUGAUUGUGUCAAAAACAGGGCUUGGUACGGUUGGGCCUAGUGAGCACUUUGUUGGUCAUCACCCUGUAUCUGGUUUUGCACUCCCCAACCCAUUGUAGAAUAAUGGGCUUGCCAUUGGACGAGACUCUGCGCCCAUUUUUCUUGGAACCCUAGUUUCAGGGCCUACACCCCUAUUGAGCCCAUUUCUUUUUUGUUUUAAUCAUGUGUUUGUUAAUUGUUUUUUAGCCUUGUUAAUUGUUGUUAAUUAGGAUACUUAGGAAAUAAUAAUUAGGAUCAACAUUUUAGAAUUUAAUUAUAAUUAUAAUUUUAAUCUUGAAUUAAUUAGAGAUAAUUAGGAUAAUUGAUUUUAAUAAGAUUUUAAUUCUAGAAUGAAUGUCCUAAUUGAUUUCCCAUGUGAAUCGACUCUUUUAACCCUAGGGUUUAGUCAUAGAAUUUCACGCUCCCUUAGAUUAGAGUUUGAUUUAUAUUAAUUGAUCUUUUUAAUCAUUUGUUUUUCAUGUGAUAUUUGACAAUUGAUGAUUAAUUUGAUCCUAACAUUUGCAUGAUCCCUUAACUUAGGAUUUGUGAAUCAUUUGAUAGGUUGUAUAUAAUUAACCAUUAAUUCAAUCCCUUUGAUUUAAGUGGAUCAAAAGAAAUUCUAAUUAACUAAUUCCUUUGAUUUAUGUAUAAUCCAUCAGUCUAUUCAAGUGAUCAAAAGUCCCUUGAUCACUUGAUAAGACUAGUUUCUGUAAUGUUGUGGAUCUCAAGGCCUCAACUUCAGACUUUCAAUCAAGGCAUCCCAAAUAAAUCAAGUAGUGAACUAUCAUGCAAGGCACUUCAAAGGUGUUUUUUCAAGAGCUUAUCAAUCAAGAUUCAAAUAGUGUGGCAUGAGCCUUAGGCAAUAGAGAAGGAAUGAGAGUGGAUAAUUUUAUUAACUCAUUUUGAAUAUCUUUGGGUACGAGACAAAUGACCCAUUUGCUCAUCGUAUCCACCUCUAUUCAUAGACUUUAGCAUUAUUUGAAUCAAAUGAUUGUCAAGUAUCCCUUUACAAAGCAGCAGUGCAACAAGCAGAAGAUUCUAUCAGCAACUUAUCAAUCAUGAUUUAAGUUGUAUGUCAUGAGCCUUAAGUAACAAAGAAUGACGAUAAUGGAGAAUUCUUAUCCUUGUCUAGGGUAUCCUUGGGUACAAGACGAAUAACCCAGUUGCUCAUUUGUUUAUAGACUUUAGUGCAAUUUGAAUUAAUUGAUUGAUAAAGUCUUCAUCAUCACAAGGAGCAACAAGGAUUCUUCUUCAGCAACUUGAAAGUUAUGAUGAGAAUCACAUGCCAUGAGACUUAAGUAGUAAAGAACAAACGAGAGUGGAGAAUUUUAUUCACUCAUUUGAAUAUCUUUGGUUACGGGACGAAUGACCCAGUUCGUCCUCGUAUUCACCUUUACUCAUAUACUUUAUUAUGGUUCAUAUCAAAUGAAUGUCAAGUCUUCUUCAUCUUCCAUUAUCAUACAUCAUUUCUCUUGCCUCAGUCUCUUGUUGUCUUUGUUUCGUUCAUAGUGGGUCAAACUAUGAAAGCUCUGACUAUCUCAUUGCAUGGCGAGAAUACGUAGGCAUCAGGAUUCAAAUUCUCCAAGAGUUACCUUAUUUAUUUCUAUCUUAUUAAUUAAUUCCCCAUUCAUCAAUUAAUACCAUAUUUUUGAAAUCAAAAUACAAUCUUUCUUUGGAUUCCAUGCAUAUCCUUUUAGGACGAUUUAGUCGGAAGUCCACCUUGUGAACCAAGAGAUGUUUGCCUUAAUGUCAAACACUUUAUUCCUUCCUUUUUGGCUAAUACGCUUGUUUACUCUUUGGUUCAGAGUUUAUUUUUUCGUGGAUCCAAUAUACCAUUCUUAUUUGGUUUCAAAAUGUUUGUUCCCUAUAGUGUUAUAUUAUUCCUUGUACCAAACAACACUUUCCUUUGGUCCCCAUACAUAUCCUUUUAGAAAGCUUAGUCGGAAGUCCGCAACCAUACCCUUGAUGUUGUGUUUGUCUUGUCAAUCCUUGUUGCUUAUGCAAACACCUAUUUGUUUCCACCAUUGUAUUUUGGUUUCGAUUAUACUGUUAUCACUGCAGUCAACCCUUGAAGUGAAGUUGUGUUUGUCAUGUCAAUCCUUGUUGCUUAGACAAACACCUCUUUGUUUCCACCAUUGUCUUUUGGUGCAAGUUAUAGUUUUCAUCACUGCAGUCAACCCUUGAAGUUAUGUUUGUCUUAUCAAUCCUUGUUGCUUAGGAAAACACCUAUUUGUUUCCACCAUUCCCUUUGGUACCAGUUAUACUUUUCAUCACUACCAAUCUUUCUUUAUUUAUUUUUGUGGUUCCACGAACUACGAAAGCUAUGAUUUUCUCAUUGCACGAUGAGAAUACAUAGGCACGAGGAUGCGAAUCCUUGGCGAGCAUAAUUAUUCUUUCUUCCGCCUUAGGGAACCACCCAUAUCUUUCAUGAUUCGUUAUCUAUCUUCGAUCAUAACCAUUCAUCCUAGUGACAUACUGCCUUCUUUGAAACCAAAUACAGUUUUCUUUGGAAUUCCAUAUAUACCCUUUUAGGACGAUUUUAUCGAAAAUCCGCAUUUCUACCAAGAGUUGUUUGUCUGGCCGACAAACAAUUUAUUCCUUCUUUUUUGGCCAAUAUGCAUGUUUCCCUAUAAGGUACAAAUUUUAUCCCCUAUAUGGAUUCCAAUACACCUUUACCUUUGGUUCCAAAUCAUACAUUCAGCCACUUUUACCAAAACCUUCAAUUCUUUGACUUUGGUUACUUUUCUCUAUCGCUCCAUUCAUCUUCAUGGACCACUAUUCACUACAGACAUUCAAAUUUUCUAUCUUCAUUCACUUCAUGUGAUAUACUGUUAUCUUUGAGCCAAAUACACUAUCUCUUUGAGCUCCAUCUUGUGUCUGCUUGUGAACCGAGAGAUAUUUUCUAUGGAACCAAACACUUAAUUCUCUUUUUUUCGAUCGUACCAUAUAGUGGUGAAUGCUCCGGCUACCCACACAUUGGUUAAUUUCAGUUUUAGUCUUGGGUUCAGAGUUCAUCCCUUGUUGGAGUUAAAUAACAUAAUCCUUUGGUUCAGACCAUACCUUUAUCACUCUUCGCUCACCUCCCACCAUUGGUUCUAUGAACUACGAAGCUCUGAAUUCCUUAUUGCACUAUAAGGAUACGUAGGCAUGAGGGCCCCAAUCCUCACCGAGGACUCUAUCUAUUCCUUUCUUUUCCCUUCUUAUUUCGCGAUUAAUAUUUAGAUGUAACACCCAUUCAAGCAAAGAACGAUCAAAAUGGUUCCCUUUGAGUACAAUCGAUGUGAGGGAUGUUAAUACAUUCCCCUUACAUAAUCGACUUCCUUACCCAUUAUCUAUUCCCCCCAUGUUUUAUCGAUGUUUUCCCUUUACUUCGGGAAUAAAUAAAGUUCGAUGGCGACUCUGUUGUAUGUUCGAACAUGCGAUGUGUUCGGUAUAUUUUUGCUAGCUUCAGAGAACAUUCCAAUAAACAGAAUCCACUCUUGCUUAAAAGCUUGGGAGUUAUUCACAAUUACAACUCAACUAUCCGUCCAACUCUAGCAUCAAGGUUAUACAAGAGUGACUCACAAACAACAAUGAACAGACUAAAACCUAAUUGACACUUUCACACAUGUGGCAAACCUUAUUAGGUUUAUAGUCUUACUUUUAAAUAGCCUGAGAGCAGCAUGGGCUUGAUGAACAAUUCAGGCUAAACAAACAACUGAUCCAAUAUGAUCUUCAACAUAAUUUUCGAAAGAGAAUAUAAUGUUUCCUUAAAUGCUUUUGACAUCCAUUCUUAGGAAACAUGGCGAAGCUUGAACCGACCUUUGCUGCUUCUAUAAACACACGUUUCUUGGACCGCCGUAUACGUGAAUCAUAUCUUCAAAGAAUCUUCUGUGAUCUCACGCUUGAAAUAAAUCUUCCAAGAAUGUGAAACAAGCCACACUAUGAUGUGGUACCAACAUGUCAAUACAUCUUGUCUAACAUUUUUCUAGAACACUUGCAUCAUCAUCUAAAUCUAUAUCUAUGGGUGGUAUCGCCUUUGACUUUUAUUUAUUUGAUUAUACUUCAAUCUCACUCAAUUUGAUGAACUCUUGCAUCCUUUCCAAAAAAAAUGAUCCAGCCAAGUCUCAGCUCUCCUUGUUAAAUGAGUUGUCCACUCUGGUGAUGUUAGUGGUAUACGAAAUCCCGAUUUCAAAUAAGCUUGAACAAAGUGUCGUGUUUUUGAAAUCCAUCUAAUACACAUAAUACGAUCAUUUGGACUUUGAGAUGGGGGAAGUGUGCACUGCAAAAAAUGUUUUCGAGAAGUCGUAUCUUGUCAUAUUAAUACACACUCUUUCAUACGCACUUGUUAUAAGAUGACCAAUUCCAGGGAAGCACAUCCAUUUAUCCUCCGGUGUCGGUCCACUAAUGCAAGGAGCAAAAGAGUCAUAAAUCGCAUCAAAAUUUUCUUCUUUUUUUCAUAUACCCGUAUGUAUGAUUCGUUAUGACCCUUCAACUCUUGGAUAAGUUAACGGAAAUCAAGUAUCCUUCAACAUUGUCCAACACACUUCUAAAGCCCGAGUAACAGUUUCCUCUUUUUCGAUCUCCAGAAAUGCAAACCCAACAUAAUAGGUCUUCUCGGUAGAGGUAACACAAACAAUUUUCAAUAGUGGAAGCCUCUACUUAUGGGUCUUAUAUGUGGAAUCAAUAAUGAGUAUAGUAGGAAACCUGUUGAACAACUUUAUGGAAUCAUGACGAGUCAAAAAUAUAUCUCGAAUGAUUACUCCAUCCUCACAUGUUCGAUACUUAGAUACAUAAUUGUCAUCAUGCAGAAGUUUCAAUAGUUAUUGCAUUUUAGUUCUAUCCCCCCUUAACGCCUUGUUCUUAUGGACAAAAAUAUUGUAUAAAUGCUUGAUAUUUGAUAUGUUUUAUGGUAUUUUUACGAUUCAAAGUUGCAAGUAUGUUUUUGGGCUGCAUCAUGUUAAAUCUCAUGUCUAAAAUGAUUUCCUUCUCUUCCGGCAUAAGUCAACAUGAAAUUAGAUGCCCGACUAACUUGUCACACAUUUCAUGGUUAUGUAAGCCACAUAUUACAUUAAAUUUCCUUUUGUUAUUUGACAAAAGAUAACCAUGCAACUUAAAGGGACACUCACAUUUUCUCAAACCGAUGUCAUCUUGUUUGAAUUUCCGAAGAGAAGUGUUAUACUUUCCACUUCUUUCGCAUCUCAUAAUCACAAAUGUGACUCUUUCAUCUGAACCAUUAUUGGACCUUCUGGUUACAACACCAAACCCCAAUUUAGAUACAUAUGUGCGAAUCCAUUUAAGCAUUUCAUAAAGACACUCAAAAUUUUGUCCAUUUGUAAACUGGUUUGCAAUAUCUACCUCCUCCACAUCAACACUUUUGGCAUCCGUAGACACAAUAGGUUUGGGAAAAACAUCAGGAUGCACCAUAUCUACUGCAAACAAUAACAUAAAAUAUUCAAAAUAAGAUUGAAAUAAACACUAAACGUUUCCGGAAAUGCAUUUCCGAACGCAACGUAACGUUUACAACUCAAAAACAAGAUUAUUGUGAGCAAUGAAGAAUGAAAUAAACCAUCUUUACCUUGAAUUUUAACUUUUUUUUCUACUUUUGAUUUGAUGAAUUACAAGACUGAAAAUUUGGAGUGAAAAUCUUGAUUGAGAAUAGAAAGAUUUUUUGUAAGUGUUUUGAGAAAAAAAUGGUUAUGGUGUUAGAUCAUGCAGGAUUUUGUUUUAUUAAAAAUCACAUUUGAUUGUUCCGUAAAAUGUGGUAGAUUUUCAAAUUUCUGCUUCACAAAUCCAGAAAUACACUUCCAAAAAUGUCAUUAAGUUGUUUAAAUAGGAAUAAAUUGAUAGGGUGAGUCUAGAGAUACAUCUUUGAAAUAAAAUUUGGAAUGAGGUGACAAUCAGUUUGAUGUGUUUCAAUGAGACAAAUGACGCGUCCAUAGAUGCAUUUUUGGAAUCAAAAGAUAUUUUUAGAUUUUCAUAAAGUGUUUUUCCAUCUCUUAUGAUAGAAUUAACAAUUCCAAAAAAAUAAAUUACCUUUUACUUUAAUCUACCAUCAAGAUAAGAUUUUUAUAGAACUACCAAACCUUUUCCUCAAUCCAAUCGCGAAGAGAAAUACUUCUUCCAAAUAUCUCAAGUAAAAAUUACCCAAAUCAUUUGUAAGAACUUUCAAACUUCUCUAUUUUGAUGCAUAUUAAACCCCUAAAUUGAGUAGUGUGAUCGUAUUCAGCCAAAUCAUACGGUGAGUCCAAACAACACUAAAUCAACCGCUAUAAAAAAAUUAACACUUUAAAAAUUAUUACAACUAUGAUCACUCGUAUGCACGAUGGUGAUAGUAUGAGAUACCAAAAAUUUUCUUUUUUUUUUACUUCAGUUUUUCAACUAUUUUGCGGGGGUUUUAAACUCUCGCAAAAUUUUCAUUUAAAAAAAAAUAUAUUCUUUUUGUAUUUUUAAAAAUGAAUUUUAUAAAAGCCUUUUCUAAAGUAUUACAAAAAAAAUUAUAUUCGCUUUUUCAAAAUUCAAAGACUAAUUCGCUAUCUUAUAACAUAAACAUACAUUUUUGAAGAUCAAACAUAAUUUAAAUUGCAAUUUUUUCAAAAAAAAAUUGUAUCUCUAAAAUGAUUUUUAUAAAAAAUUAUUUGAAAUAUAUUCAAAAUUAAGUGAUUUUUUAAAAUUUUGAUAUCUAAUAAAUUUUUUAAUAAAAUGAUAAAAUAUUUAAAAUAACAUUUAAGAAUAAUUAUUCAAAUCGAAUUUUCAUUUGAAGCUUUUAAAAAAAAUCUUUGUAAAUUUUUUUAACAAAAUUAUGGGUCUGUUUGUUUCAAUUUUAAAAAAAUAAAAUUUUUCUUUGUAAUUUUAAAAAUAGAUUUUAUAAAAUUGUUUUUUAAAAUAUUACAAGUUUUUAUAUAUAUAUUUUUUUAAUUUAAAGACUAAUUUUGACAUUAUAUAAUAAACAUACAUUAUUAAAGAUCAAAACAUAGUCGAAAUUAUAAUUUUUUAAAAAAAAUUAUAUCUCUAAAAUAACUUUUAUGAAAAGUUAUUUGAAAUUUUUUAAAUUUUAAUAUAAAAAAUAGUUUGAAUAAAUGAUAACAUAUUUAAAACAAUUAAUAACUAUUCAAAUUAAAUUUUUAUUUAAAUUUUUUAUAAAAAAAAUUAUAAUUUUUUUUAUACAAAAUUAUUUUAUACUAUUAAGAUUCUUUAAAAAAAAAAGUCAAAACAAACCAAUCCUAUAUUUCAUUAUAUAAAUCAUUUAUAAAAAAUUAAAAACAAUCAGACCCGAAAUAUUCUCUAAUGCCACCCUCAAAACUCCACUUUAAUCUAAUCAUUCUAACAGUUACAUUUUUAUUAACAACAAUGCUAAACACUUCCCCCAAAUGGCCAUACAACAAACCACAUUCGAUCAAUAAUCUUUCUAAAAUAAUGUAUGCUCACCAUUAGCCUCCUAAAUUACCAAGCCCGCACACCAUUUUAAUAUCUUUCCAGGACAGAGACUCCUUAUUUAAAAAUUAAUAUAUGUUGACCUCAAUCAUAAUUGGACUUUAAUAUCUCUUUUUAUUAUAUUUUAUAAACAUUUCUUUACUUGAAUUCUUCUUAUAAAUAAGUCUAGUGCAAAUUCGAUGUCAGUUGUGAUUAAUUCGAAAAUUGAUUUUUUAAAUUAUUUUUCUUAUGCGGGCUAACUCAAUAAAUCAAGAGAUCUGGACAACUUCAAAACACUAAAGGAGAAAGAAAGUUGCUCUUUUCAUUUUUAGGGGUUCUCUUACACCACAAUGAAAAGACUAAAAUAUCUCCGGCAAUACAUCUUCGAACGCACAGUUUCCACACACAACUGAGACACAAAUGGUGAGAAACUCUUAUUAUGUUAAAAUUUGAUCCAGAGAUGCAUUCCCGUAUGCACGAAAGGUUGAUUCGGAUAUGCAUAUAUGUAUUUCCCUUUAGUUCAUUUGGCUGUGAGCUUUUUAAAAAUGCAUCUCCAGAAUAUGCUUUGUUAGAUCAAAGCAGAAACAGGCGAAAACAAUGGCAGAAUGAAAAACCAAUAUAAAUUAACUCCAAAAUAAACAUUACAUCGAUAAACAUUACAUAAAAUUUAACAUUACAUGUUAUUAAAAAUAGGUGGUUCGGGACAUUGCAACAUUCUUAUAAUAUCUUCGACUGAUCUUUGAAUCGUCGCAUCCACUUCAAUCAGACUCUUUGUUGAGUAACGGUAAAAGUUAUUCCACAUCACCUUCAAAUCAUCAUUUGUUUUCAUUUCAAGCACUGUGAACCGUAUAUUCCAUUUGUUGUCAAUUGAGGGUGAACGGUACUCAAACUUGACAACUCUUUGAUUUUCUGGAUAUUGCAAGAGAGUAUUCAAUUUGGUUUUCAGAUCGAUGAAAAAUAUAUCCUUGCAGAUCCGAGCUUCUGAAUCCACCUCUAACCAUAAAAAACAUAGAAUACAACAUUCAUAGUAGUCCCCACUUCUGAACUACUCAACUCAACACAAACAAAUAUAAUUACAUUCAUAACACAUAAUUCUAAUCACAAUUUCACAACUCAUAUGUAUAGUCAUAAUUAUUCAAUAACAUCACAACUCACACAUAUAAUUAUAAUCCAAUAUUCAUAAUUACACCAAUAACUCAAAUAUUAUUUAAACAAAUCACUUCAAACAAUCACUAAACAUCCACUACAUGCGAAAACAACAUCAAAAUUCGAACAUAUCACUCAAAAAGGAUCUCUGGCGGUCAUGAUGAUGACCGACAAGAGAAAGCUCACAACUCGUCACCCCUAUGACGAUUGACAAGAGAAAGCUCGCCUCGAGACCAUGACGGUCUCCCAAUCACCCUGUUAAAGACCGUCAACCAUUCCUGAUGCAUGACGGUAGCCCGUGACGCCCGUUACAGAAGGCAUUUUCUGCAUUUUGGACAUGGAAACUCAUUUGAAGCUCUGAUUUUGACCUUGAGCACCCCAAUCAUCACAUACACAUCAAUUAACACCCAAUUUCAUCAAUUAAUCAUAAUUCAAUGUUAUGUUUAUAACACCCAAAAUACAAUAAUGGCAUUCAAAAUAUUCAUGUUCACAUCCAUCCAUCAUGCAUAAAUUCAAUAUACAAAACACGAAAUUACACAUUAAAUAUGACAAUUAGCAUGAAUUUUACACAAUUAUCAUCAAAACUCAUAAAGCACAACAAUGGUGAAGAAAACCUAGAGGGGGUGAUGAUCCCUCUCUAUCUUUCAUGCAAUAACCCUUAUAUUAUAGUAGUUCACCCUACCUGAAUUUCUAGCAGCAAAACAAUCAAACUCUUUGGCUAUGGAAUUCUUCCCCUUCACGAGUUUCCUAGGUUUGUCUCUUUUCUACUUUCCAUAAAUUCCACAUACUGACAAGUUUGGUUCCCCUCACUCCAUUAUUUAUCUUAACCUAAAAUUAUAUUUAAGUUAAUUAUCACCCCUUCACCCCUCACCUCUUGUGCAAUCCCUCUUUACUACUCAAACUUCACCAAAAUUCUAUUUUCUACCCCUGAACUCACUAUUCUACUUAUUUUUUAUAUUAAUUAUUAUCUUAUUAUUUUAAUCAAAUAAACUACACUAAAUUCUAACAAACCCCAACAAUGUCAAAUAAUCAUAUAACAUAUACUAUCACAAAAAUAAAUAAUUAAAAGCAUUUUAAAUCACUUAAACAAUUAAAUAAAAGCAACACAAAUUUAUAGGAUUCAUAGGAUUUAACAGUUGUCAACGGUUAUCUUUGUAAUAGUAUAUAAUGCAUGCUUAUGCAUUGUAGUAGGGGUUGCAAAUUUUCAAUGAUUCUAUAAAGAACCAAAAUACCAAAGUCACACAGCGAAACAGUUUGUGAGAAAUCCGAGUUUGCGACUACCUUUUAAAUUUUUUGCAAAUCUUUUGUAUUUCAAAGCAUUUACAUUAAAAUGUCAUUUACUUCAUUUACUUUCUUUUUCGUUUAUUAUCUUUACCUAAAGUCUAUCUUUUUCAUUCCAUUGGUCACAAUCCAAACAUUUAAAACUAAAUCACAUAAAUUUUUCACCAUAACUUUCCUUCGUACAUAUUGUCUUUGAGAUUUUUCGAGUUAAUCUCUUAAGUGAACUUAACUCGUGAUUGUUUACUAAAAACACCAGUAAACACCAUGGCUGGUUUAUUUGGCCCGAGGAUUCUACUCCUAUAACUGUCAUUAACUUGAGGCUUAAGUUAUCCUCUUUAUGGACUUCUAUUGGGAAAUGAGGCAUCACUUCCCUUGGAAAAGGUUACUACGAGUUCUCAUUUUAAUCGAUUAAGGAUGUGUGUUGCACUAUGUCAGUUACCUUGUGAAGCAUAAAUCUAGAUUUUUAAAAGUUAUUUCCUUAGAAUAGGGAUCUUGGACCUUCUGCUAUUAAUCAAACUUCAGCUAAACUAUAGAUUCAAAUUCAUGGCAUUUCUCAAGAGUAUUGGCACCCUAAGACUCUUUGCAAUUGAUAGUAGCAUGGACACACCUAUAUGUAUUGACUACGCAUCAAACAAAAUUUCUUUUAUUGGCGAUGAAAAUGCUCUUCAGGUGGAGUUUAUUGGGGAUAUGGUGUCUAUCGAGUCAUCCAUUACUAGACAUUGGUCGUCCUUUUGGCCAAAGACAGAUUUCAUGAAUGUGGUCGAGACUCUUUCAAAUUUUUCUAUCGUUCCUUAGCAUCUGCGGAAUAGGUGGGCUAAUUGUGUUCAUUCCAUUCUGUCUAUGAACUUCAUGGUGUCGAAUAUCUUUAGAGAGGGGAAAAAGUGAUGAUAAGCUUGCAGGGUUGGUGUUAUUUAGAAUUUUCGACAAGGGAAAAAUCUCAGUACAAUUAGAAGACUUGGAGAUAGUUAAGGUCAACUAGAAAUUUGUCGAAACGUUAUGGGUACAAAGGUCGAAGUUUUAAAGGAGACGUGUCAAUGGGACUUAGGAUUUUUCAGGAAAAAGGAACAUUUUUCCUAACAUUUUGACGACAUGAAGAUUUGGGUUUUUCGACUGUGUCGAAUAGCAGUUAUUUGGGCACGAAGAAGCAUUUUGUUCAAAUAAAUAACUAUUUUGCAUCCUUAUCCAAGAAACACGUGGAGAAUAUUCAGAAGCAAGACGCAUGCAAGGAUCUACGUGGUGAAUGUUAGAGAAAUGAAUGUUAGGAACAUUUAUUUUUACACUUGUAGAAAUAGGGAUUCUAGAGUUAAAAUUCAGUGUGUUCAUUUGAUUUCAUUACAAAAUCUCACAAAUACUAUAAGUACCAGUGUUAAAGAGAAACAAGUUCACUAAGAAAUGUAUGAAUCUUGAAACACCAUUUUUUAUUCAAAUACAAAGUAUUUUAUUUCAGUUUAUGAUCUUUUCCAAUUUACUGUCAUUUCUCUUUUAACUACAUUGUUAUUGUACCUUCACUUUAUAAACUUUUUUCCUUUUUUCUACAUUGUCGAAAUCACUACUUUUCUUAACUAUUUCGACCACGUUUAAAUCUUUCACAAUCUUUAUGCAAAAUAUAAACAAAAGGUUUUAGCACUAUAUCCUAUGAUUCCCUUGUUGGUUCUGCAAAUAACCUUUAGUAAGAGACUAGUGAUUGCUUACCAAAUUUCCCAAUAAGCAAAUUGGCACGCCUAGUGGGACAUAUGCUAAACUCUUGUCUUUUUAUAGAUACUCAUAAGUUUCCUCUUAUAAACUUGUUUUGCAUUCACGAAUUGUUCUGGGCAGUUUGUAUGCGUUUAAGAAGUGGAAAGUCUUUACCAAAAAUGAUGUGUCCUCCUGUAGAUAACACCAGUUCAUAGAACAAUCCUAAGAAUGUAGUAGAAUAACCAGUUGGAUUGACGGUUGAAGAGGUAGAUAUUUCAACUUCUGUUAGGAUAACUGCCCCAAUGGUAUUGUCAAUGCCAUUUGCAUCGGUACCAUAACAGGGGAUAACACCCACGCCGCAGCUAGGAAAUGUCUUAUUUAACCCUGCGACCAUAAGGGCUUUGUUUGGGUUCUCAAUGCCAAUGAACAAUAGGGAGUACCUGAAGGUAGAGAAAAACAAGAAAGGGGGUUUGAAUUGUUUUCAUAGGAAUUAAAAACUUUUGCAACACCACACACACAAAAUAAAUGCUAACAAUAUAAAGAGUUUAUCAUGGUUUGCUUAUAAUUCAAAGCUACUUCAGUCCACCUGGCCAAGGUGAUUUCGCCUUCAAUAAGGACUUAAUCCCUUAAUCUCAACAGUUUACAAAAUCGUCUAAGAGUUUAACAACCUCUUAGCCCUCUCAAGUCUACAGACUUAAACAAGUCACUUGAGGAAUUACGAACAAUUUCAGGAAUACAAGUGUUUGACUAGAUGCUUAUAGAUAAGCAAUAUAAACACACUUUAAGAACGAUGAAACACAACCACACAAUAUUGAGCAACAACUCUUGUAUGGAAAACUAUUUCUUACAACUAUGAUAGUGAAAAUAUUUGGAGUUUGAGAAAUGUUGUUGUGUGAAAGUUGUCUCAUUGUAUGUAAGGUUCUCAUCAUCAGCAAGUUGUAAGGAGGCCUUUAUAUAAUACUUGAGAUGAUACCGUUGGGGGGAAAUCAAUAGAGAUUUUCGUGCCAGCUGUGGGAGUUAAUGGUAGUAAAUUCCUUGUCCUUUCCAUAAUAGUCUUGGAGCGUAAUCCAUUGUUUCCUUAAACAGACUUGUACUAUAAUUUGAAUACUUUCAGCGUAAGUUUCUGAUCAGAUGAUAUCUGAUGGCAUGUUAAGCAUGUAUCAGAGUGAGUGUGAUCAGAGUCUUCAGAGUUAGAGUUUAAAUAUCUUUUGCAGUCUUCGGAUUUCUCUUGCAGACUUCAGAUAUCUCUUGUAGACUCUUCAGAUAUCUCUUGCAGACUUUAGAUAUCUGAGCUUAAGCUUCAUCGUCAUAUUCUUCAGAUGAGUGCUCUUCAGAUGUGUUCUUGACCAAAGUCAAAUCGGAUUUCUCUUUAUGUUGGGUUAGUGUUUCAUGGACUGGAUCAGGUGCCAGAUAUUCGUUUCUUGAUGAUUAGAUGAUAACUUAUCAGAUUCAUUUUAGCUUAGAAUCCUGCACACUUAAGAAAAAUUGUUAGGUUACCAAAUUGUUUCAUUCUUUGUUAUCAUCAAAACUUAUAGAUAUAUUGCAGAAUCAAAAUCUUGUUUUAACAAUCUCCCCCUUUUUGAUGAUGACAAAACUUAGAAUUUUAAUGAAACAAUGAGUACUUUAAAAAAUUAUCAGAGUCAGAUAGAAAAUGACCCCCCCUGAGAUUAGCAAUCUCCCCAUAAGUCUGAUACUUGGAAAACAUUUCUUAAGGAUAUUUAGUAUCAGAUAUGGGUUUCUGGGGUAGAGAAUUUCUUAGGUUGCUUGACUUGAUUUAGUAGUUCCUUAGAUAAGGAUUUAGUUUCCCUUGGUUCAGAUAGAUCCUGAAAAAUGACUUAGUCUAUGCAAUAAUUUUAUGUCAUAAUGUAAGCAGCGUUUUUCUGAGAGUUAGAUAAAUUACUUCAUCAAAAGACUUUUAUUUAAUUCUCCCCCUUUUUGUCAGACUCAAAAAGCAAGUAACAAAAAUGUCAUUGAUAAGGAAAAGCUUUACAUAGUGCAGAAACAAAAGAUAAAGCCUCAGAGGCAAAAACACUUAGAAAAAUUACAUAAAAAAUCCUAGAGUAUCUAAGGGUUUGGAGGAGGAAGCAUCCUCUUAAGAAGCUUAGUUAGUAGACUUUGAAUGCUGGAGUUAACUUGGUCCUGUUUGUUGAGUUUGGUUCUGACUAGUUGUUGUUCCUUUUGCAACUCUUAUAGAGUCUUGAUGACUAGAGGAGAAAGGUCAAUUAUUGAUGACUCUCCUUGAGUCAGAGCAACCUCAGUUUUCUUAUCAGCAUCUACGACAUCUUUUUGAGCAGCUUCAGCGGCCAAUGCUGUUUCAGCUUUUGCUCUGGAUGCAACUUCUGCAACUACUUUCUCAGUUGCCUCCCUGGCAACAGCUUUUGCAUCUGCUUUUUCCGCAUCUUCCCUUUCUGCCUUCUCAGUAACUUCCUUUUCUAGACGAGCCUCCAACUUCUCCUCAGCACCUCUGAUAAAGUCAUUUCUGACUUGUUCAGAUAAGCCCUUUAGCUUGAAGACUUCAAAAGUCAUCCAUCUGAUGAACCCGUUCCAGUGAGUCCUUACUUCUGAAGGAUUGUCACUGACGUUGGAUUCGUCAGAGAGCUUCUUGAAUCUGGAAGCUGGACUCUCUGAGAACUUAGCUAGUGUCUCAUCAAAGGUAGGUAGAGUGAGGUUAGGUUCAGAGGGUUCAGGAAUAGGUUCAAAAGGGUCAGAUAUGGGUUCAAAUGGUUUAGGUACAAAGAGAGUCUUUUCAGAGUUAGCUAACGCCUAAAGGUCUUCAUGGUUUGGGGAAGUUGGGUCAGGGUUAUCUGAACCAGAGUGUUCAGUGUUAGAAAUUAGGUCAUAAUAAGGAGGUGAGUUGGAGUUUGAGGAGGGAGAUAGUGAUAGGGGUUCAUUGAACAUUAUGGCUUCAGAGUGGGGAAUGGAAGUGGUUUGGGGGUUGAUGAGAGGUAAAGGAGAUGAAGGUAUGAUAGUUCUAAGAAGGAUGGGGUUAGAUGAUGUGGGUUCUAGUGGUUUUUGUUCAUAAAGGAUGAGUGUAGAAGGUGUUGGUUCAGAUGAGGAAGAGAGUGAGGUUGUUUGUUAUUGAGAUUUGGAUUUUGCUCUGGGAGCUAGAGUAUGUGUGGAAGGUGAGGUGGAUGAUGUUGUAAUAGUGGUUGGGAGUGUGGGAGUGGAAGAGGGAGUGAUGGGGCAAGUUAACUAGAACUAGAUAGACGAGGAGCAUCUGAGAUAGGUGACUUACUUGGUGCUAAAUAGCUCAAAGGCACUGGUGUCUUCUGAGUCGCUGAAGACUCUCCCAGCUUGAGGCUCUUCUUAUUUUUCUUCUGAGAAGUUUCCUCUUUCUCUUAAGGAAGUUGGGGGUUGAUCUGGGAGCCAAUCCAAGCUGAAACCAGAGAUGUCGUAUCCUUGGGCUUCUAGAUCCUGCAAGUAGCAAGUGAUGACUUCUGGAGGAUCAAUGUUUGAGGAGAGAUACAUCUCAUUGGCUUUCUCUCUUUGGUCCUUCAGAACAUUCCCAGGAGGUGUUCCUUGUGGGUUUGACACGGACCUUAUCAAUCAGACCCAUGAUCUUUAGAUUCCUCCCAUUGAGAGGCUUCCCAACGUCCACAGUGACGUCUUCCAUCAGAUUUAGAGAGAUGAGAUGG
RNAcentral lists this long non-coding RNA (15595 nucleotides) under Lathyrus oleraceus (garden pea). RNAcentral's name for it is "Pisum sativum (pea) long non-coding RNA (PSAT_LNC003986)". Lineage: Eukaryota; Viridiplantae; Streptophyta; Magnoliopsida; Fabales; Fabaceae. The record is from RNAcentral.